UAGCAUAAUCAUUAGGAGUUUAAUUGGAACCUGGAAUGAAGGGUUGGACAAAGGAAAAACUGUCUCUAUAAUAAAAAUUGAAAUUUACUUUUAAGUGAAAAGGCUUAAAUAUAUCAGGGGGGCGAUAAGACCCUAUAAAGCUUUACAGAAAUUUAAAUUUAGUUAAUUUCGUUAAUAAAAAUUAAGUUUAAUUAUUUUGUUUUGUUGGGGUGAUAUGAGUAUAAUUAUUAAUAACUGCUUAGGGUAAAUACUAAGAUAAAAGAUUUACAUAAAUAUGAUCCUUUUUAGAGAUUAAAAGACUAAGUUACUUUAGGGAUAACAGCGUUAUUUCUCUUGAGAGUUCAUAUCGAAAGAGGAGAUUGCGACCUC
Molecule: ribosomal RNA, 369 nt
Filed under: Demania scaberrima
Lineage: Eukaryota; Metazoa; Arthropoda; Malacostraca; Decapoda; Xanthidae
Description: partial 16S ribosomal RNA
Source: RNAcentral